Molecule: long non-coding RNA, 586 nt
Filed under: Physcomitrium patens
Lineage: Eukaryota; Viridiplantae; Streptophyta; Bryopsida; Funariales; Funariaceae
Description: long non-coding RNA (PPAT_LNC007169)
Source: RNAcentral
CUAAUAUGGUUCAUAUUACUGGACAAUGGAGUAUAUACAGUUGAUAUUGUACGUCAUGACGGGCACAUACAAAUUCAGUCCUUCAUUAUGAAAAUAGUAGGAUUAGAGGAUAAACCCCAAUGCAUAGAAACCUCGCUGGACUACAUGGCGAUGCAAAGAGUGAAGUCGUUCACCUGAACAGACGCAAAAUUCUCCAGAGUAGACCUUUCCAUUACAACAAUUUCGCAUCUGCAGUGCAAACCAUUCGCCCAGCUUCAUAAACCCCAGGCAACGAAAUCGUCAUGUACCACUAUAGCAGCACUUGCCCACCCAUUGAAACUGUGCUAUGCUUACAACCGAGCAAAGAAUAGAGCUAUCUCAUGCUCCUCUUCGAACUAGAUGACCUGACGAGUGUGACGAAUACUCCGAAAUUCAUAAGAAUUCGCCAUACUCUUGCGAAAAAUUAGCAGGAUUGCAGAGCACCAGUGUCAAAGCUUUCAAUUUGAAAUGCUUGGACCUUUUACUGUGACCUGCCAUUCUGCAGUAACCAAGAUAUGAGUUCGAAAUCAUUGGCAUAAUCUCACAUCUGUCAAUCAAAUAAUUCCAC